UCUCAGCUUAUGAUCCACAACUAUUGCUGGCAACUAGACCAGAACAGCAACUCCUUCUUACUAUUUGAGAAAUUGUUUGGUAGAGUUUACAGAUUCCUGAUUCCUCUUUUUAUCAUUCUUUGUUCGUGCUAUUGCUAUAAUUGAGAUCAUCAAAGAUAAUGAAUCAGUAAAUCCUACCAUGAAGAGGUGGGGCUGCUUCUAAACAUAGUGUUUCACUCUGAAACAUGAUUAUUAAGCAUCAACACCAGUGUUAAUACUACUACACAAAUGUUAUCAAGAUGGAAUGUAGAAGAAUUAGAAUAGAAAAAAAACCCCAAAAAUUAUACAAGAUUGUUUAGUCCCAUAGUCAUUUUUUUUUUCUGGAAAUUUCCAUUUUCCUCCAUCAUCCACAGAAAUGUUACAAAGCUCCACCACAAAUCUGAAGUAUCAAUAAAAAUCUAGAUGUUUCUUUGGAACUCUGUGGAAGAAAAAA
Molecule: long non-coding RNA, 472 nt
Organism: Pipra filicauda (Wire-tailed manakin)
Lineage: Eukaryota; Metazoa; Chordata; Aves; Passeriformes; Pipridae
Exons: 3
Source: RefSeq, a predicted model, not a curated record